This 240-nucleotide ribosomal RNA is filed under the name uncultured bacterium. Its description in RNAcentral is "partial 16S ribosomal RNA". It matches the Rfam family "Bacterial small subunit ribosomal RNA", at positions 333 to 590 of the family's 1533-position model. The record is from RNAcentral.
UAUUUCCUACGGGGGGCAGCAGUGGGGAAUAUUGCACAAUGGGGGAAACCCUGAUGCAGCGACGCCGCGCGAGCGAAGAAGUAUUUCGGUAUGUAAAGCUCUAUCAGCAGGGAAGAAAAUGACGGUACCUGACUAAGAAGCCCCGGCUAAAUACGUGCCAGCAGCCGCGGUAAUACGUAUGGGGCAAGCGUUAUCCGGAUUUAUUGGGCGUAAAGCGAGUGCAGGCGGUUCAAUAAGUCU